Bos taurus (domestic cattle) is the source of this 1676-nucleotide long non-coding RNA. Lineage: Eukaryota; Metazoa; Chordata; Mammalia; Artiodactyla; Bovidae. The record is from Ensembl.
CUUCCACAUUGAUGAGCUUCCCAGGUGGCGCUAGUGGAAAAGAACCCACCUGCCAAUGAAGGAGACGUAAGAGACGCAGGUUUGAUCCCUGGGUCAGGAAGAUCCCCUGGGGAAGGGCAUUGCAACCCACUCCAGUAUUCUUGCCUGGAGAAUUCCCUGGACAGAGGAGCCUGGCAGGCUGUAGUGCAUAAGGUUGCACAGAGUCGGACACGACUGAAGCGACUUAGCAUGCAUGCACGACAUUGAGGUGUUCUUAGUUUUUAUCCCUAAACAAAGUUCCAAGUUCACUUUAAGAACCGUCUUUUAUCUUCUGGUUUCAUUUGCGGCCCCUGUGUGGCUCCACUGCCCGCUCUGCCAAAGGUCUGCUCCCAGCUUUACCGCUGCUCCUCUGACCCCAUCCCUCAGUCCCUAACGGAAAAUCUCAGCCCUUCUCUGAGGCAGUGACGAGGUGGAUAUGAUGUAGCUUGUUGGGAAAACCACAGAAUCUGUGCUCAGCUGAUCCUUUACCAGCCCCGACGCCGCCACGCAUCUCUGCGUCAAUCAACCACCCCAUACCUCCCAGGUUGCUGCCCCUGGGGAACAUCACUGGGUAACUCGCUCAUACCUCCCGCGAAGGGAUUUGUUAGACUCUGGAACACCAAAGAUGAAAGGCACAGGCAGGCCUGCCCUCAAGGAGCUUCAGCCACAGGAGGAAAGGGAACAAAACGUGAGAUUCAAGGAACCCUAGCCCACCUUCGUCCUCCGCAUCUCCCCUGGGGCUUCAGGAGACUUGUCACCACAGUUCACACCAGCUUCCUCCUGCCCCAGCUCUCCCACCGCAUCUCCAGUCUCUGAACCUGCAGAGCUGCUGAUGCUGCUGGGGCCUGACGUCGCCCUGCAGCUGGAGGCCGCCCUGGCUGACCCUCAGCUGCCCUGUCCCUGUCUCACUCCAGAGACGGGCCUCGGGGGCAAUCUUGUCUUUAACACGUGGCCUCCUCUGUUCCAGGGGUCACGGAAGACCGCCCAGAGCUCACCACGUCUCACGGAGAUUUUAAUGAAACAGCUCUUCUAUUUAUUUGUGUUGCUGCCUCCAAGGCCUGGGGCCAUGACAUCAGUCCCUGAGAGGGGAGGCCCGGGCUCAGGGGACAUCAGGCUUUCUGUCCAGUUGCUUAGGUUCUGACACUAACCCGGCUUUUCUGCUUCAGUCCUACACUCUUCCCUCUGUUUUUUUCUCGGGCGUGUCUGAAUCCUGGGGUGAAUACCGUUUACCUUGCACCCUGUGGCACUUGUUAAAAGUAAACAGGUUUUCCCUGAGCGUUGGCAGUUCCACCAGAAGGAGAACAAAGGUCAAUGCAGUCAUACGGAAUCUGAUUAACACCAAGCCGCAGAAACACACCCCUGGAUUAGAUGCUUUCCCAGCUGCCCCUGCCCUUUGGACAGAGGAGCCGUUCUAGCUGGUGUGCAGGCAGCAGCUAUGCUUAGCUCGCUGAGUGGGAAUGUGUUAAUCCACAUUUCAAGUUAGGUUUGCCUAUUGUUAUUUUUUAAUUAUAUGUACUUUAAGAGUGAUGUUAUCAUUUGAAUUUUAAAAAAUGUAUAGAAAAAAGUUUUAUUACAUUGGAGUAAAAGAAAAAAGAAAUUUUAAUCAGGUUUACAGAGGUAUAAUUUACAUUCAAUGAAUUCCACCCUCUUUAGUGGAC